GUCGUACGCUUCUUUUUCCCCGGAGCUUGCUCCACCGGAAAAAGAAGAGUGGCGAACGGGUGAGUAACACGUGGGUAACCUGCCCAUCAGAAGGGGAUAACACUUGGAAACAGGUGCUAAUACCGUAUAACAAUCGAAACCGCAUGGUUUUGAUUUGAAAGGCGCUUUCGGGUGUCGCUGAUGGAUGGACCCGCGGUGCAUUAGCUAGUUGGUGAGGUAACGGCUCACCAAGGCCACGAUGCAUAGCCGACCUGAGAGGGUGAUCGGCCACAUUGGGACUGAGACACGGCCCAAACUCCUACGGGAGGCAGCAGUAGGGAAUCUUCGGCAAUGGACGAAAGUCUGACCGAGCAACGCCGCGUGAGUGAAGAAGGUUUUCGGAUCGUAAAACUCUGUUGUUAGAGAAGAACAAGGAUGAGAGUAACUGUUCAUCCCUUGACGGUAUCUAACCAGAAAGCCACGGCUAACUACGUGCCAGCAGCCGCGGUAAUACGUAGGUGGCAAGCGUUGUCCGGAUUUAUUGGGCGUAAAGCGAGCGCAGGCGGUUUCUUAAGUCUGAUGUGAAAGCCCCCGGCUCAACCGGGGAGGGUCAUUGGAAACUGGGAGACUUGAGUGCAGAAGAGGAGAGUGGAAUUCCAUGUGUAGCGGUGAAAUGCGUAGAUAUAUGGAGGAACACCAGUGGCGAAGGCGGCUCUCUGGUCUGUAACUGACGCUGAGGCUCGAAAGCGUGGGGAGCAAACAGGAUUAGAUACCCUGGUAGUCCACGCCGUAAACGAUGAGUGCUAAGUGUUGGAGGGUUUCCGCCCUUCAGUGCUGCAGCUAACGCAUUAAGCACUCCGCCUGGGGAGUACGACCGCAAGGUUGAAACUCAAAGGAAUUGACGGGGGCCCGCACAAGCGGUGGAGCAUGUGGUUUAAUUCGAAGCAACGCGAAGAACCUUACCAGGUCUUGACAUCCUUUGACCACUCUAGAGAUAGAGCUUCCCCUUCGGGGGCAAAGUGACAGGUGGUGCAUGGUUGUCGUCAGCUCGUGUCGUGAGAUGUUGGGUUAAGUCCCGCAACGAGCGCAACCCUUAUUGUUAGUUGCCAUCAUUUAGUUGGGCACUCUAGCAAGACUGCCGGUGACAAACCGGAGGAAGGUGGGGAUGACGUCAAAUCAUCAUGCCCCUUAUGACCUGGGCUACACACGUGCUACAAUGGGAAGUACAACGAGUCGCGAAGUCGCGAGGCUAAGCUAAUCUCUUAAAGCUUCUCUCAGUUCGGAUUGUAGGCUGCAACUCGCCUACAUGAAGCCGGAAUCGCUAGUAAUCGCGGAUCAGCACGCCGCGGUGAAUACGUUCCCGGGCCUUGUACACACCGCCCGUCACACCACGAGAGUUUUAACACCCGAAGUCGGUGAGGU
Molecule: ribosomal RNA, 1401 nt
Filed under: Limosilactobacillus fermentum
Lineage: Bacteria; Bacillati; Bacillota; Bacilli; Lactobacillales; Lactobacillaceae
Description: bacterial SSU rRNA
Rfam family: Bacterial small subunit ribosomal RNA
Source: RNAcentral